UCUAAUAUGGCAGAUUAG
Molecule: transfer RNA, 18 nt
Filed under: Delacampius villosus
Lineage: Eukaryota; Metazoa; Arthropoda; Insecta; Hemiptera; Largidae
Description: partial tRNA-Leu
Source: RNAcentral